Molecule: long non-coding RNA, 964 nt
Organism: Xiphophorus couchianus (Monterrey platyfish)
Lineage: Eukaryota; Metazoa; Chordata; Actinopteri; Cyprinodontiformes; Poeciliidae
Exons: 3
Source: RefSeq, a predicted model, not a curated record
CAAAAAAAGACAAAGAGUCAUUCAGUCAAGCGCUGGCUUGUUUUGAUAUUUUUUGUGUGCAAGUGUAACGGGAGGGUGCGCUUGUUCUCACUUCCGCAUUUGUUUGUGUUCGACGAAGCGGCAGUUUAAUGAUACAAAAUUUCAUUUGACUUUUACUUUCCUGAUGCCGGGAUGCACUAGGACCGAUCAGAUCCCAGUACGACGUGCUGGAAAACGUUGGGUAGAUUCUGAAGUUCCCCAAAGCCCCAGCUACGUCCUCAAUGAGAAGCAAGUACACAUGGAGUCUCUCACAACUGAAAUGAGAAGCUGUUUUAAAAAUGUACAGCUCAACCAGGAGUACGCAAAUCCAGCAACUGGAACAAAAAUGAGAGCAGCAGAGCCACUCACUGGUAAUUAGCGUCGCUUCCUGUGGAUUCACACGUUUUUCAAUUCAAGCCCCUAUUUAGUCCCAACACAUUUCUUUCUGUGCUGCUUGCAUUUUGUAAAUGUAAACAAACAAUUUCGAAACCACAUACCCAUACCAGGAUGGAUGAGAUUACUUUCUGUUGCAAACUGCUGUUAAGUAUUAUGAUAAUAAAUGGUCAGAAAAUUGCUCAUUUCUCAUGCAUUUGCAUUCAUUUACAAAUAAAUCUCUGAAGACUUUGCAAUACACCCUGUUUCCGUUUACUGUAUCUCUGAUCCAUGUUUGGCUAGUUGACUCUUAUGACAUUUGGACCCCAAAUCAAACCAAAAUGCCUUUAAGUGCUGGAAUAUAUUUAUUGGAAUCAAAUAAUCAGAUAUACCCAUGAUAUACCCUAUGAAUAGAAUAUUCACCAAAAAACAGCAAUUAAAAUCUUAAGUUGUCAAAAGGAGUAUCAAUCAUCCACCUGAACUGACUCACGGCUAAUAGGAUCUCAGUAAAUUGCACUAAAACUGCAAAAGUACAAAAUGACGAAAUUAACGUGUUCCUUCAUUUCCCCCAAUC